Molecule: ribosomal RNA, 115 nt
Filed under: Salix viminalis (osier)
Lineage: Eukaryota; Viridiplantae; Streptophyta; Magnoliopsida; Malpighiales; Salicaceae
Source: RNAcentral
GGGUGCGAUCAUACCAGCACAAUGCACCGGAUCCAUCAGAACUCCGCAGUUAAACGUGCUUGGGCGAGGUAGUACUAGGAUGGGUGACCUCCUGGAAGUCCUCGUGUUGCACCCU